AGCGAACGCUGGCGGUAGGCCUAACACAUGCAAGUCGAACGGCAGCACCGUAAGAGCCUGCUCUUACGGGAGGCGAGCGGCGGAAGGGUGAGGUCUACACCGGAAUCUACUUUUUCGUGGGGGAUAAUGUAGGGAAACUUACGCUAAUACCGCAUACGACCUACGGGUGAAAGCAGGGGAUCUUCGGACCUUGCGCGAUUGUAUGAGCCGAUGUCGGAUUAGCUCGUUGGCGGGGUAAAGGCCCACCAAGGCGACGAUCCGUAGCUGGUCUGAGAGGAUGAUCAGCCGCACUGGAGCUGAGACGCGGUGCAGACUCGUACGGGAGGCAGCAGUGGGGAAUAUUGGACAAUGGGCGCAAGCCUGAUCCAGCCAUACCGCGUGGGUGAAGAAGGCCUUCGGGUUGUAAGCCCUUUUGUUGGGAAAGAAAAGCAGCAGGUUAAUACCCCGCUGUUCUGACGGUACCCAAAGAAUAAGCACCGGCUAACUUCGUG
This 491-nucleotide ribosomal RNA is filed under the name uncultured bacterium. RNAcentral describes it as "partial 16S ribosomal RNA". It matches the Rfam family "Bacterial small subunit ribosomal RNA", at positions 29 to 507 of the family's 1533-position model. The record is from RNAcentral.